GCCCGGGUGGUGGAAUUGGUAGACACAAGGGACUUAAAAUCCCUCGCCCUAAUCCGGCGUGCCGGUUCGAUUCCGGCCCUGGGUACCA
RNAcentral lists this transfer RNA (88 nucleotides) under Methylophaga sp. RNAcentral's name for it is "tRNA-Leu". It matches the Rfam family "tRNA". From Rfam's summary of the family: Transfer RNA (tRNA) molecules are approximately 80 nucleotides in length. Their secondary structure includes four short double-helical elements and three loops (D, anti-codon, and T loops). The record is from RNAcentral. Lineage: Bacteria; Pseudomonadati; Pseudomonadota; Gammaproteobacteria; Thiotrichales; Piscirickettsiaceae.